This 483-nucleotide ribosomal RNA is filed under the name Triticum aestivum (bread wheat). RNAcentral describes it as "partial small subunit ribosomal RNA". Lineage: Eukaryota; Viridiplantae; Streptophyta; Magnoliopsida; Poales; Poaceae. The record is from RNAcentral.
AUGUCCGCCGCCUCGACGAUCUUGCCGCUGCUGUUCUUGGUGAGGCAGCCCAUGAAGCCGAUGUCGGCCACCUGCACCUGCGCGCAGCUGUUGGGGCACCCCGUCCAGUGCAUGCGCACCGCCCUGGGCACGGACACGCGCGCCUCCACGUCGCGCGUCACCUGCAGCGCCCGCGCCUUGGUCUCGAUGAUGGCCUGCCCGCAGAACUGGUUGCCCGUGCACGCCACCAGCCCCUUCAUCAGCAGCGACGGGUGCGCCGAGAACUUCUGCAGCAGCGGCUCGGCGAGCAGAGCUUCCACCUUCUCGUUCUUGACGUUGGGGAGGACGAUGUUCUGCUCCACGGUGAGGCGGAGCUCGCCGGAGCCGUACUCGUCGGCGAGGCGGGCCAGCUCGAACAUGUCGGCGGCCUGCAGCCGGCCGACGGGCACGUGCAGGCCCACGAAGGAGAGCCCCUCCUGCUUCUGCGGGUGCACGCCGAGGUAG